This 269-nucleotide ribosomal RNA is filed under the name uncultured prokaryote. RNAcentral's name for it is "partial 16S ribosomal RNA". It matches the Rfam family "Bacterial small subunit ribosomal RNA", at positions 524 to 792 of the family's 1533-position model. The record is from RNAcentral.
UACGUAGGUGGCGAGCGUUGUCCGGAUUUACUGGGCGUAAAGGGAGCGCAGGCGGACUUUUAAGUGAGAUGUGAAAUACCCGGGCUCAACUUGGGUGCUGCAUUUCAAACUGGAAGUCUAGAGUGCAGGAGAGGAGAAUGGAAUUCCUAGUGUAGCGGUGAAAUGCGUAGAGAUUAGGAAGAACACCAGUGGCGAAGGCGAUUCUCUGGACUGUAACUGACACUGAGGCACGAAAGCGUGGGGAGCAAACAGGAUUAGAUACCCCCGUA